GGGAUUGCCCUAGUAACGGCGAGUGAAGCGGCAACAGCUCAAAUUUGAAAUCUGGCGCAAGCCCGAGUUGUAAUUUGUAGAGGAUGCUUCUAGGUAGCGACCGGUCUAAGUUCCUUGGAACAGGACGUCAUAGAGGGUGAGAAUCCCGUAUGUGACUGGCCCGCACCUUCUACGUAGCUCCUUCGACGAGUCGAGUUGUUUGGGAAUGCAGCUCUAAAUGGGAGGUAAAUUUCUUCUAAAGCUAAAUACCGGCCAGAGACCGAUAGCGCACAAGUAGAGUGAUCGAAAGAUGAAAAGCACUUUGGAAAGAGAGUUAAAAAGCACGUGAAAUUGUUGAAAGGGAAGCGCUCACAACCAGACUUCUAGGCAGUGUUCCGCCGGUCUUUUGACCGGUCUACUCUCUGUCUCGAGGCCAACAUCAUCUGGGACCGCCGGAUAAGACCUUAGGAAUGUAGCUCCCCUCGGGGAGUGUUAUAGCCUUUGGUGAUGCGGCGCGUCUCGGGUGAGGUCCGCGCUUCGGCAAGGAUGUUGGCGUAAUGGUUGUCAGCGGCCCGUCUUGAAACACGGACCAAGGAGUCUAACAUCUAUGCGAGUGUUCGGGUGUCAAACCCCUACGCGUAAUGAAAGUGAACGGAGGUGGGAAGCGUAAGCUGCACCAUCGACCGAUCCUGAUGUCCUCGGAUGGAUUUGAGUAAGAGCAUAGCUGUUGGGACCCGAAAGAUGGUGAACUAUGCCUGAAUAGGGUGAAGCCAGAGGAAACUCUGGUGGAGGCUCGCAGCGGUUCUGACGUGCAAAUCGAUCGUCAAAUUUGGGU
RNAcentral lists this ribosomal RNA (814 nucleotides) under Ramularia endophylla. RNAcentral describes it as "eukaryotic LSU rRNA". It matches the Rfam family "Eukaryotic large subunit ribosomal RNA", at positions 71 to 916 of the family's 3401-position model. The record is from RNAcentral. Lineage: Eukaryota; Fungi; Ascomycota; Dothideomycetes; Mycosphaerellales; Mycosphaerellaceae.